RNAcentral lists this microRNA precursor (73 nucleotides) under Procavia capensis (Cape rock hyrax). RNAcentral describes it as "miRNA (ENSPCAG00000020301.1)". The record is from RNAcentral. Lineage: Eukaryota; Metazoa; Chordata; Mammalia; Hyracoidea; Procaviidae.
ACCUUGUCAAAGUGUAGAUUCUGAUUCAGAAGGUCUGGGGCUGGGCCUGAGAUUCUGCAUUUUUUACAAGCUC